GACGAACGCUGGCGGCGUGCUUAACACAUGCAAGUCGAACGGAAAGGCCCUGCUUUUGUGGGGUGCUCGAGUGGCGAACGGGUGAGUAACACGUGAGUAACCUGCCCUUGACUUUGGGAUAACUUCAGGAAACUGGGGCUAAUACCGGAUAGGAGCUCCUGCUGCAUGGUGGGGGUUGGAAAGUUUCGGCGGUUGGGGAUGGACUCGCGGCUUAUCAGCUUGUUGGUGGGGUAGUGGCUUACCAAGGCUAUGACGGGUAGCCGGCCUGAGAGGGUGACCGGCCACACUGGAACUGAGGCAGGGUCAAGACGCCUACGGGAGGCAGCAGUAGGGAAUCUUACGCAAUGGGCGGAAGCCUGACGGAGCAACGCCGCGUGAGUGAUGAAGGUCGUCGGAUCGUAAAACUCUGUUAGUAGGGAAGAACAAAUGUGUAAGUAACUAUGCACGUCUUGACGGUACCUAAUCAGAAAGCCACGGCUAACUACGUG
RNAcentral lists this ribosomal RNA (488 nucleotides) under uncultured bacterium. RNAcentral describes it as "partial 16S ribosomal RNA". It matches the Rfam family "Bacterial small subunit ribosomal RNA", at positions 28 to 507 of the family's 1533-position model. The record is from RNAcentral.